This 253-nucleotide ribosomal RNA is filed under the name uncultured prokaryote. RNAcentral's name for it is "partial 16S ribosomal RNA". It matches the Rfam family "Bacterial small subunit ribosomal RNA", at positions 525 to 777 of the family's 1533-position model. The record is from RNAcentral.
ACGGGGGGGGCAAGCGUUGUUCGGAAUUACUGGGCGUAAAGGGCGCGUAGGCUGCUCGCUAAGUCGGGUGUGAAAACUCUGGGCUCAACCCAGAGCCUGCAUUCGAAACUGACGAGCUAGAGUUCUGGAGGGGAAAGCGGAAUUCCUGGUGUAGCGGUGAAAUGCGUAGAUAUCAGGAGGAACACCGGUGGCGAAGGCGGCUUUCUGGACAGAAACUGACGCUGAGGCGCGAAAGCUAGGGGAGCAAACAGGA